Long non-coding RNA from Panicum virgatum (switchgrass), 893 nucleotides. RefSeq lists it as uncharacterized. The transcript is spliced from 2 exons. NCBI's taxonomy places the organism in Eukaryota, Viridiplantae, Streptophyta, Magnoliopsida, Poales, Poaceae. The record is from RefSeq and is a predicted model, not a curated record.
GAGGAGGAGCUGCGGGCCAUGGAGGAGGAGCGCUCGGCCCGCUCCGCCGCUGCCACCCGCUGCCCCUAGCCUCGCCGUCCAUGCGCAGCCCUGCUACGCCGAAGAGCGCCGCCGGCCGGGGGGAGGAGCGGCGCAUGGGGAGGACGGCCGCCAUCGGCAGAGGGAGGCGGCAGCGAGGCGAUGUGUGCGGAGGGAGCGAAGCGAAGGGAGGGAGAGAGAGAGACGAGGGGGAAGAUAAAAAAAUCUGAUAAGUGGGCCCGUUGCUAGUAGUUGAUAUAGAGUAGAGGUACAGAGGAUGAAUGACUGUAGCGAAACUGGAUAUAGAGGACAGAAUCUCGAUGAUCUGGCAAGAAUAUUUCUUUUAGAGGAUGGAUUUAGAGUAUGAUGAGUGCAGACAGCCUAAUAUUUUACAUCAAUGAUACAGGGCGUGUUCUACUUGGACGAAAGAAGAGGAGCCAGCUUGAAAGUUCCAGUUUGAAAUUGAGCCUCUGGACAAAUUUACGUUUCAAAUGGGCCACUCGUGAGCUCGUUCCUGAUCACCGGAGGUAAUAGCAAUAUAGCAUCAAGCCAUCGGGGCAGGACAAAUCUGCAUACAUUGGCUUCUCUCGGACCGGUGACACCAGUGAUUCAAGAUUUGAGUAUCGCAACAACAAUCAAAGCAUCAAUGAUUGGCCAAGGCAUUUCAUGAGCUCAAAUCAAUUGUUUUUUUGUGAUGCAAAUGCGAGUUGCAACAUUGUUACAUUUAGUCACUUUUCACCAUGUGGUGGGGGUGUGGUGUGUUGGGUUGUAACGUUUGAUUAGCAGAAGUUCACCAAUCUCACAUUAUCAUGCAGAGGCUCGAAUAAUAAAAAGGAACUGCAACCGGUGGCAUAUUUCAGCCCGGUAGAUUGGUA